CUUCAAAGUCAAGUUCUUAACUGUGGCCAUCCUCAGAGGAGUUAACUGUUUAUUACAGCUCCUGUGUUUCACACCACAAAGCUUGAAAGCCCAGGGAGUCCUACAGUUGUACCUGCAGAUGCCAAAAUGCUUCCCAGCCUCUGCUGUCCCUCCCGCAGCAGGGUCUGCUCUGAAUGCUGUUCUCCCUGCCCCAGUCCCACUUCUGACACAUCUCAGUGCUGAUGAGACUUCGAGAAGCCACAAGUCCUCUAUCCAACAAGGAGCGUUUUGGUGAGGUGGUCUGCACAUGACAAAUCUGAGAAGGCCAAGUACCAUGGAGGGGAAGAAAUCAAUUUUACCUGACCCUGCUUAUUUUUAUUGGGACUGUUCUCUAAACUAUCAAAGGUGCUUUUUUGUAUGUUUUCUUUACUUGAGCAGAAUAGGUAAUAGCAAAGCUUAAAUGCGAGUAUUAUUUAAAUCUUUUUAUGGUAAUGGAUUAUUUUAUACAGUUCAGCUUUAUGGAUCUGGGUCUAUUUUCCACAGAUCCUGCCAAAAGAGUUUCCAUUCUGGGGCUUUCUGCUUAUUUCUUCCAGCUGCUUCUCUUUCUUAUCCCUUCUGUUGUUAUUCUCCUCCUGUCUCCUUGUUUUCACUACUGAUGGAAUAGAGGCUUGGUUACACUUUGAAAUCAUAAUAUAAAUGUUCUUGGCAAUUGUUUAUUUCUAUACUCUUUAUAAUUAUUCUCCAGCGAUUCCAAUUGUAUUUUCCAGUUGGAGAACAUCACUGAGGACUGCAUUGCUCACUCAGAAUGUUAAAGGUGCAAAUAAUCUUUUAAGAGAACUCAUAAGGAAUAUGUUUGACAUCAAGACACAGCAGGAGUAACACAGUGGCCAAAAUGGUGUUGAUUCUGUUGACCAGAGUGAUGCAGGAAGAAAAAGUCUUUAAGCAGCUCUUCAUUUCCUACCUAGUCCACAACCUACUCCACAAAGUUGGUCUGCAGCACAAAGACUCCUGCCAAUCUUACCCUACACAUUCACCAUCGACAGUAAUGGGAUUCAUGGGACUUGGCCCAGCCUUCUCCAAUGGUAUUGUGCUGGUUAAAUGCAUGAAAUGGGGGUGUGCGUGCUUGUGUCUGUGUGCAUUGUUUGAAUCCUAUGUCAUAUUAAUGACAGAUAAUUUUAAAAGAAAAAAAGAAAAGGUUGUGUGGAAGUCAUUUGACUACCUGUUACUUCAAUGGCAUUAAUCCUAGCCUUGUCAGAAGUGAAUCAGUACUCCUUUCUGCAAAAAUAACAACUGGCAUGGAGGCAGAGAAGCGCUGUUUUCUCACAUGUAAAACUAUUUGCAAAAUGAAGUCCUUUGUUUGUUUAUUUGUUUGACUCUCUGUGUGUUUGUUUUCUCUACUUUUAGAACAUAUUAGAAAGCAUCCUGCUCUUGUUAUUUCUUUUGAAUAGUCUAUUUUCUGUAGAAAGUAAUAUCCACAUGGCAAACUCCUAUUCAUCAAAACUGUGCCAAAUAUGUGCCAUUUUAAAGCUAAAUAUAUGUUAUUUUAUUUUACUUUAAAUCAAGCCAAAAUGCAUACCAAGAACAUAGCUCUGGAUGUGGUGUUGGUCCUAUUUUCAAAUGAGUAUUUACUGUGCGAGGCACUUCUCUGCAACAGGCUGAGUUGCAUUUUCUCAUCAGAAGUCAAAGAAGCUGAUUUUCAAGUGUCAGCUGCAUUAGCAACUUCUUCAGUGAGAGAGUGGAAAAGAAAAUCACCUCUCUAAUCAGGAUUUCACUGCAUGAGAAAUAGCUGGUUAAGUCUUUAGAAAUCAAUUCCAGUGCAGAGACUCUUUUGUAGGGAAAGAAUGUUAUAUCUGAGAGUAAGCAGGAUACAGGAUUCCUUCAUGUUGAAGACCUCCUUAAAAAGGACAUAAAAAUAAAUGUGAAAAUAUAGCAGGUUAUAUAAUUUUAGACAAUUAAAAAAACCCCACAUAUGUAUCAAUUUGCACCUGGUAGUGAAUCAGUGUGCAAUGUACAUAAUGGAGUUAAAGACCAAGACUAUGACACAGUCAAGUGAUGAGAAAAACAUUAAAAUUGUAUCAACCUGUAACCUUCCUAGGGCAACAUAUAAGCCAGUGGGUUUCUUUUUUUUAGGUCUUUUAUCUUUAGCGUGUAUAAGGGACAAAUCUUUAUGCUGACAGUUUUCCUGUAAAUGGAGAGGCAACAUCCUUCUGUAAAAAAUCAGAAAAUAUUUCAGAAUUUGGGGCCAAAAAGAGUAAGUGGCACCUCUACUUUUUCUCAACGGGUGUAAUAGUACCUCUGUUCCCAAAACUGGCGUAAAUCUGUUGUGCAUCAUGAAGACAAGCAUUGAGGACUACAACCAAGGCUUGUUUCUUUUGUCCUGUAAGCACAGCUGACAACUGAUACAAGAAAAUCAUUAAGGGCUAUUAUUUUCAGUUUUCUUCCCCAUUGCCAAACAGGCACACCAACAGCUGGUUCCACAUCCAGCCCACCUUAAGGUGAGAGUCAAUGGGGACCUUCUAAAAUAGAUGUGCUGCUUAGGGAGGAGUGUCAGUCCACUGCCAGCUGAUGCCCUUUAGGAGUUUCCAACUGUGCAUCCCCAGCUGUUUAUGCCCCUUCUGACAAAAGAAGGUGCUUAAGCAUCUGGCAGAAUAAAACAAUUGAUUAGCAUUUCUGAGAUUAAAAAUGACCAAUUAGGUUAUCAGUUAACCACCCUCCUGCUGAUUAGUUUGAAAGUAUAGGCAUGUUGCAUAUGAACAACUGAUGCUGCAGCUUUGAAGGUGACUUGGGUGCAGAGGGUAAUUUGAGGAAGAGUUGAAGCACUUGGUGCUGCUGCUGCAGCAUGGAUUAUGCCUGCUUUCAGUAGAAAUAGCAGGGUAAUUGAAAGGCUGCUUCUCUGCUUUUCUUCAUCCUUUUAGACACAAAUGUAAAAAAUAAUCUUCUGAAUAGAUGAUGCUGUGCAGCAUGUA
This is a long non-coding RNA of Neopsephotus bourkii (Bourke's parrot), 2945 nucleotides long. RefSeq lists it as uncharacterized. The record is from RefSeq and is a predicted model, not a curated record. NCBI's taxonomy places the organism in Eukaryota, Metazoa, Chordata, Aves, Psittaciformes, Psittacidae. The transcript is spliced from 3 exons.